Non-coding RNA from Nylanderia fulva, 839 nucleotides. Lineage: Eukaryota; Metazoa; Arthropoda; Insecta; Hymenoptera; Formicidae. The record is from RefSeq and is a predicted model, not a curated record.
UGCAAUACAUGUACCGCUUUUUUAUACAAGAUACUACGUCAAAAGGAGGGCGACCGGUAAUAUAAUACACGAACAAUCCCUCGGGACAUAGAAGAGGAGAUGGAUUCUCGCGGAACUACGCGGACAAAGACUCUCCCUUCGUCGAGUAUUCCCCAGGAACGAACUCCUGUCUCCCGAAUCCGGCUCGACCAUCUCGGAUUUUGCGAUGCGAUGAGUCGAUGUUGCGCACAUAUAAAAUCACAAAAUUUUUUGGGAUAUUUAUCGUUCAAUUAUUGAUGCAAAAAGGAGAAGUUCGACAAUGCGAAUCCUUUAAUACGAGACAGGACCGUGUAUCUUUUUUAACGAUGCUCCGACAAAUAAAUGAAACAAUAGGGUAAGAGUACACGAGUACAAACAUGAUGGUAAUGGUCGCUGGUAAAACCGGGAACCAAGGCUGAGACCGGGAGAUUACGAUCUGCUGGCCAUUGUGCGUUUUACGGUGCGUGGCACGCACGAGAGGUGGCUGGCGUUAACGUCAAAAGGCGUUACUCGCUUGAAUUGGCUCACCUGGCGGUCGCGGAAGGUAUCUGAUCGAAGGUAUAUCUCGACCUCGACGAGAUCCACAGUGGAUUCUAAUGUGAUCACUUUGUUUCAUCCCCCUGGACCACGCAUCGCCUGGUGGGUGCCUUUCACAUCCGCUAACGGAAAUCGAAUUUGCCGACCUCUAACUCUUAACCCGCAUUUUUUUGGACGCAACCGGAUCCUCCCGUACAUUGUCUGCCUUCGCGAAAAAUUUUGCUACAAUAAAUUGUAAUUAUUUUCUAUGUUUAUAGAAUGCGCAGGAUUUAUUACAAUUGUAG